Adelges cooleyi (spruce gall adelgid) is the source of this 251-nucleotide long non-coding RNA. RefSeq lists it as uncharacterized. The record is from RefSeq and is a predicted model, not a curated record. Lineage: Eukaryota; Metazoa; Arthropoda; Insecta; Hemiptera; Adelgidae. The transcript has 3 exons.
UCAAAUUAAUUUGUUAGCUCCCUAACAAUUGCCUACGCACUUACUUACAGGCGAACCACGGAAAUUGAUUUAUGAAAAAUGUUACAAAUUAAUAAAUGUUGCCAGUAAAUCGAUUAAGGCCAGAUGUUAUAAAACUACUAAAAAAACGUUCGAAAUCAAGUGAAUAUAAAGUAGGUGAUAUAGUUGGUUCCAAAAUAAGUAGGACUGUUGUUGGCAAAGCCGGUGAGCAAUUAUAUCAAGACAAGGAAAUG